Molecule: ribosomal RNA, 253 nt
Filed under: uncultured bacterium
Lineage: Bacteria
Description: partial 16S ribosomal RNA
Rfam family: Bacterial small subunit ribosomal RNA
Source: RNAcentral
UACGAAGGGGGCUAGCGUUGCUCGGAAUCACUGGGCGUAAAGCGCACGUAGGCGGAUCUUUAAGUCAGGGGUGAAAUCCCAAGGCUCAACCUUGGAACUGCCUUUGAUACUGGGGAUCUCGAGUCCGGAAGAGGUUGGUGGAACUGCGAGUGUAGAGGUGAAAUUCGUAGAUAUUCGCAAGAACACCAGUGGCGAAGGCGGCUCACUGGCCCGAUACUGACGCUGAUGCACGAAAGCUAGGGGAGCAAACAGG